RNAcentral lists this ribosomal RNA (449 nucleotides) under uncultured bacterium. Its description in RNAcentral is "partial 16S ribosomal RNA". It matches the Rfam family "Bacterial small subunit ribosomal RNA", at positions 29 to 523 of the family's 1533-position model. The record is from RNAcentral.
AACGAACGCUGGCGGCAUGCCUAACACAUGCAAGUCGAACGAGACCUUCGGGUCUAGUGGCGCACGGGUGCGUAACGCGUGGGAAUCUGCCCUUGGGUUCGGAAUAACUCAGAGAAAUUUGAGCUAAUACCGGAUGAUGACGAAAGUCCAAAGAUUUAUCGCCCAAGGAUGAGCCCGCGUAAGAUUAGCUUGUUGGUGGGGUAAUGGCCCACCAAGGCGACGAUCUUUAGCUGGUCUGAGAGGAUGAUCAGCCACACUGGGACUGAGACACGGCCCAGACUCCUACGGGAGGCAGCAGUGGGGAAUAUUGGACAAUGGGCGAAAGCCUGAUCCAGCAAUGCCGCGUGAGUGAUGAAGGCCUUAGGGUUGUAAAGCUCUUUUACCAGGGAUGAUAAUGACAGUACCUGGAGAAUAAGCUCCGGCUAACUCCGUGCCAGCAGCCGCGGUAA